RNAcentral lists this transfer RNA (63 nucleotides) under Perkinsus olseni. RNAcentral describes it as "tRNA-Val". It matches the Rfam family "tRNA", at positions 6 to 65 of the family's 71-position model. Rfam says of the family: Transfer RNA (tRNA) molecules are approximately 80 nucleotides in length. The record is from RNAcentral. Lineage: Eukaryota; Perkinsozoa; Perkinsida; Perkinsidae.
GCUAGUCUAGUGGUUAUGACGUCUGCCUUACACGCAGAAGGUCGCGGGUUCGAUCCCCGCGCU